CUCAGAGGAAGAGGGCGGGCUUUACUUGGUGUCAGUGAGAGAAAUGAAAAAAAGCUGAAAUGAGUGAGAAGGACGAUGAAGGAAACAUCUGUGCUGUGUCUGCUCUUUACUGUAACUCAGUACUUUUACUCUGCUUUUCUAGUCUAUUCACUGACAUCUUAAUCCUGUGUUCUCCUGAGCUUGAACCUGAACGUCAGACCAACCAUUGACUGCAGGAGACAUGAGCCUCAGACCAGCUCACCAUCACUAUCUUCAUCAUCAUCAUCAUCAUCAGCCCAGAACACUGUUACAGCGAAGUCUGGACAGGACGUAGUUCUACCAUGUCGAGUAUCACCAGACAAAACCAUCAGAGCUGUGAAGUGGAGCAGAGCUGACCUGGGAGAUGAAUAUGUGCUUUUGUACCGGGAUGAGCAGCUGGAUCCAGAAAACCAGCAUCCAUCUUUUAAGAACCGGGUGGAUCUGCAGGACAGGAAGAUGAAUAAUGGAGACGUGUCUCUGGUUCUGAAGAAUGUGACGACUGCUGAUGAUGGAUCAUACAAUUGUAAUAUUUUCAACGGAGGGACAAGGUCAUGGGAGUGCAUCAACACCGUCAGCCUGACUGUUUCAGGUCAGACAGCAGAACUCACAGUUGCACCUGUUGGACUCAUCGCUGGUCUGAGUGUUCCUGCUGUGGUUCUUGUUGCUGCUGUUAGUUUUGUGUGCUACAGAAAACAUAAACAACAGAACCGGGAUUUUAACUAGCAUCCUCAUGAACAGCAGGUUUCAAAUGUCUCUACGGUUUAGUAUGUGUAAACUAACAAAACACUAAACUUACAAAACAACACUGGUUUAAAAACUAAUUGUUUAAUUUAAUCCUGGAUCACACUACAUGACAUCACUACAGAGUGCAGACAAAUGAUGCAUCGUUUACCCGAAUCGCUAUAAUUCAGAGAAAUCCUGGAAAAAAAAUAUUAGGACAUAAUAAUUGACAAGUUUCACCUGCUCUAUGUGUAACUCAAUGACCUCUAACACCUGAAAUCCUUUAUUGUAUGAAGGUAAAAUAUUGUGUACCUUUAAUAUUCAUCAUCUAUCCAGAUCUAUCACAGUGACAUGGAACGACCCACUGUAUUAUAAAGCCUUUCCAUUUAAUGUAUUAUAAAGGUGGAGGUGUUGCUCUUCCAUCGCUGUCACUGGCAGAUCUGAGUGAAUACUGACCUUAAAAGUGAAGGUGAACCCUGUUUGAAUGACAGCAUGUUGUUUACCAGUUCAUUAAUAUUAGUGAAUGACUCUGGGGCAGGGAUGUCAAACUGGUUUUACAUCAUGGGCCACAUUAAACUCCCCACGAUGUAAAGUAGUUUAAGUGCACGUUCAAUCUGACAUAUCUCUGUGUAAGAAGGAGAACUGCAACUUUAUCAGCACCUCUGAGUUUUCUCUAAUAUAUUUCUGUACUUGAUGGUGAAAAAACAGGAACUUUCUGUAACUUAACAGCCUGUUUAUUGUUUAUUUACUUUGGUGUCGUAUGAAUCACCUUUGACGAGGUCGUCAGCUGAAAAGCAGCAAAGCUGCAUUUUCCAAAGCCACCCAGUGGGGAUAUUAGAACAUGUUUCUUCCCCAAUAGCAGCUAAGUUUAUUAUUUAUUCAUUAUCAUAGAAACAUUAUAGCAGGUUAUGAUAUGGAUGUGUUACUCAGAGAAUUGAAUUUGUAACCUCUGACCUUUGUGAAGCUUUUCAGCUUAAAAUGCCAGAACGACCAGACACUAAAGACAAACCCACUGCGUAAAGGAAACUUUACUACACUAUGUAAGGAGCAGAAGACACUAAAAUACUAAAUUAAAACUAAAACAUUUUUAUGCUAUACCAUUAAAAACUGACGUUGCACAUGUCAGCUGAUCGUUUUAUAAUUUUUAGUUUGUCAUAGAGACAAAAAGUGAGGGAGCAUUUAGAGCAGAACAUCCUAACAGGAAGUUCAACUCUGUGGUUUUACAGUUACGCUGUGUUCAACUGUGAAUAGUUCAAAGCAAAGGAGGAGUGAUGUCAGUGUAGCUUAGAGGAAGUCUGAAAUAGUCGACAGCCAGGAUCACAAACACUACACAGUUUCUGAUUCCAUCCUUUUCCUGUAAGUAACUAGUUAAUGUAACUCUUCUUUCUAGGUAACAAUUUGAUGUCAAACGUGACUCGUGUGAGCAAAGUAAAGGCUUUUCAAACUAUUUUCUAUCCGUCCGUCCAUCUAGUGGCUCUAAGUGCUCACUGCAGUUGUUCGUAACUUCAAACAUUAAAAAAUGCAUUUAUUACACAUCACUACACUAACAGACUAACUAACCGCUUGAAGAGAUGAGUGGUGAUCCUCUCAGCAGACUGAGGGACGAACACAUUAAACCAGGUCAAAUAUCCACGUUCAUGUUUAAAUACUGCAGAACUUUGGUGCAAACAGCAGUAACAUCAGUGAUGAUGGUGAUACGACAGGGAGUAAACAAACCACUAAAUGGGACUAAAUGGGACCAGUGAGGAAGUGUCAGUACAAUAAAAAGAUGCACAAAAGAAAUGAUGGAGUAAAAAAACUGUUUUAAAAGGAAAACACAAGAAGUCUGAUGUGUUUUGUUCUUUCAGGUCAGGAGAUCAUACACGUGGAUAGAUUUUUUUUAAUCUAAACAUAUUUACUUUGUACACAGGAACAUGUGAGAUAUGAAAAAUGUUCAAAGUAAAUAGUUUUGACUCAUAUUUGUUGAUUGAUUUAUGACUGGCUGCUGCAGUCUGGAGCAUGAAUGUGAUUUUUGUUUAUAUGUAUGAUAAACUGGAAUGUUCACUUGUUAAUGCUUUUCUGCAAUGUGCUGCACUACAGAAAUAAAAGUAAUAUUUGAAAAUCAUCACUCACUUGUUCUGUUU
Long non-coding RNA from Oreochromis aureus, 2861 nucleotides. NCBI's taxonomy places the organism in Eukaryota, Metazoa, Chordata, Actinopteri, Cichliformes, Cichlidae. The record is from Ensembl.